This 2622-nucleotide long non-coding RNA is filed under the name Homo sapiens (human). RNAcentral describes it as "HSALNT0408387". Lineage: Eukaryota; Metazoa; Chordata; Mammalia; Primates; Hominidae. The record is from RNAcentral.
AGGAUUUCUUUAAACAGCAGGAACCCCUAGUGAUACCUUUCUUAUUUUCCUUCCUCCUUCUCUCCAUUUUAAUGAUCUCAUUGUAUUGUUUGUGUUUAUUUGCAUGUCUGUUUUCCUAAAUAAAUAUGGAAUUCUCGAGGAUGUAUGAAUAAUGUUACUUGGGAUAUUAGAUCGAAAGAUGGUACAUAUUAGGUUCUGAAGAAAUUACCCGAAUGAAGGAAUAAAUGUAAACUACUAUGUUAAUUAGAUCAUUAUCUUUACAUUCAACAAAUACCACAUGAAAAGCAGUAGGAAUCUGUGGUAUUGCUUCUUCCAUUCUUAUUCUUUCCCACUGCGCCCCCAACCCCAUCUCAGCCAAGGCAUAAAUUUUAUUAGGGUGUGGAAGGCCGUGAGAACUGGAAGCUGUUCUGCCACUAUCAAAGGGGGCUCACCUGAUUUGGAAAAGUGAGCACUGGCAACACCCAUGCCCAACCGUGUUGUCAGUGGAAGUGAUCAUCUUGGACACAAGGUGAGUAAGAAAAUCUAACAGCUUUACUAACUAGAGGCUGCAGUCAUGGUUGGGAUAAACAUAACUCUGGAAUGGAGGCCCAAGCUAGCUACACACUUCUGGCAAACCCUGAGGCUGCACACAUGGUAACAUACUUCUCAGAAGCAGAUUUUGAUAAGAUGUGAAAGGGCCCAGAAGAAAGUAAAGUCUGCACAGCCUGCACUUUGAAGAAAAAGGAAUCCACAUCUAGAUAUAUCAUAAGCCAAUCACUGAAAACAAAAUACAAAGAGAAAAUCUUAAAAGCAACAAGAGAAAGAAAAAAACUCAUAACAUAUAGGUGAGCAUCAAUAUAAUUAAGGCUGACUUCAUAAUAAACAAUGAAGGCUAGAAUUACAUAUUCAAAGCGAUAAAAGAAAAAAAUUAGCCAACAGAAGAAGACACAUAGACAUUGCACUCAGCCCAAUUCUCGCAUGGCUUCCUUAAAAAGUUUUCCUUUUAAAACCCCUGCCUCUCCCACAAAAAAUCAAAGUGAUUAAUUUGGAUAAGAAUCUGGCUACUUCCCGUUUACUAGUUUUGGUUAAUAGUCACUUUCUUUCUACCAGAUGUUGCUCUUGUUAAUUGCACUCUGCAAGUGGUAAGCAUCUGGACCUGCAUUUCAUUACAAAACUACCAAAACAGAAUUCUAUAUCCAGUGAAACUAUCCUUCAAAAAUGAAGGCUAAAUAAGGAUGUUCCCAGAUUAAUAAAGACUGAGAGAAUUUGCUGUUAGCAAAUCUACCUUCUAAGAAAUACUAAAGGAAGACCUUCAAUGCUGAAAGGAAAUGACACCAGAUCCAGAACUACGGGAAGAAAUGUAGAGCAACGGAAAAGGGCUGGGCCAUACAGUAUGUACUCAAGAUUUAGUAGUUAAUUGACUGAUUGAACUUUAUAGAGAAGUACAGAUACAAUAUUACGGAAAUUCAGAGGAGAGAAAUUACUAACAACUUGAGCAGGUGGAAAAGCAUUGAAGCUUGGUAGAGAAGAUGGUGGAACUGUGCAGCAUUGAGACAUGUCCAGUUGGAGAGAUAUGAAGCUGGGUGAAAGUAGUACAAGAGGAGGCAACUGAAUGUACAACGGCAAAGAGAAAGAAGAAUCAGUGGAUGUGCAGAGGAAAGAGUGUGCAGGGAGGUAUGACUCAUCAAGAGGGAGCUAAAGGAUACAAAGACAGCAAACGCAGGUUAAAUUUCCUGGUGUGGGGGUGGUGGGAAUGAUAGUGGCUUGAACUACCCUACUAUAAAGUUUGGAUUUCAUCCUGUGGGUAACAGAAUGACUGAAGGUUUUUGGAGAAGGAUAUGGUGUGAUCAGAGCUGUGCUUUAGAAAGAUUAAGCUGGUGUAGAAAAAGGUUGAGAGAAGGGAAGGGAAAGAAAAGACUAAUUAGGAGGUUGUUUAAUCGUCCAGGCAAGAGGUAACUUGGGCUAGAACCAGGGAAGAGGAAGUGGGGAAUGCAAAGUAGGGGCAGACCCAAGAGAAAUUUCAGGAGGAAGCAGAAAGGAGGAUUUGAUAAUCUCUUACAUCCCUCCUCUUCUCAGGCUAGGACACAGCUCAGUAUUCAAUGCUCUCUACAAUCUGCCCCAACUACUUUGUCCAGAUUUACCUUUCCCUAAGCAUGUCAUAUGCCUCAUUCUCCAAACUGCACUGGAUCACAUUCUUUUCUUCAAAGACAAUCUGUACUUUUCCACUUACUCUCCUUUUCUUCAAGGAUAAUCUAUCUGUACUUUUCCACUUACUCUCCUUAUCUCCAAAUAUACAAAUCUAACCUACCCUUAAAAGUCCACCUCAAGUGCCAUCUCUUCCAUCAAAUGUUCCUGACUCUCCUCCAGCCAUAAUUAACUUCUCGCUCCUCUGUUCAUCCACUUACGCUUUGUGGGACAUGGUAAAUACUUCAGCUUUUUCUCCAAGUUCAGUAGAAAUCCACUUAAGACUUUUAAGCAGCAGAGUAAUAUGAUUUGAUUUACAUUUUUAAACAACCAUUUCUAUUGCUCUUUGGGUAAACUAGGUAUAGGAAUGUUGAAUCAAGACCAGGUAGGAAGCUAUUGCCCUAGUUCAAGCAAGAGAUGAUGGUGACCUGACUAAGCAAAUGGCAAUAUAUAUGAAGA